RNAcentral lists this long non-coding RNA (3775 nucleotides) under Sus scrofa (pig). RNAcentral's name for it is "lncRNA (ENSSSCG00015043267.1)". The record is from RNAcentral. Lineage: Eukaryota; Metazoa; Chordata; Mammalia; Artiodactyla; Suidae.
AUUGAGAUGCCUGAACUAUUCUAUCAAGAAACCUUCAUUUUUACUUCUGUUUUUGCUUUGGUUUGUAAUAAAUAAAUAUAAUCCUCACAACUCUGUCUGAAGUGAGUACAAGUUGACACUAAGGGCCCAAGUGGCCUUUCCAUGAAUAAAACAUAUGGGCAUUUGUAAAUGCACUUGGUGCUACUUGUCUAUGCAUAGUUCCUUUAUGAGUUUCCAAUUUCUAAGAUGUAUUUUAUUUGAAAUACAAAUACGGAAAAAUUACUGAUGAGGCGGUGUAAAGAAACCUUAUCAAGACUGCUCAUUAGUAUGACACAAAAUUCAUAAAGAGCAACAUGCCCAUUUGCUUAGGACUGAGAGUCUAAACUUGUAAGAUAGCAAUUCGAAAGUAUUACCUUGUAAAGAUGAAGGAAGAACUCUGAACCUGGUGUGAAUAAAAUAAUUUAUAUGUCUAAAUCUAUUGGUAACUUUAGAUUAGAUGACAGGGAAAAGAUAAAUGUUAAAGAUAAUCACAGCAGUAUGUAAUAUAAUUUUCAGUAGAGCAUUUUAUUUUUUUCAUAUCAAAAAGGUACUGUGUCUUAUUUCGAUCUCAGGAAUCAAUUAUUUCAGGGAUGCAGUUUUAUGAAAGUUAACAGGUAAAUGUAGUUUCAAGAAAUUGGGGUUGUUGGGAGAGAAUUCAAGAGAUGAAGUAGGGAUUUUGGUCCUGAAAUGCAAGUGUCAGUUUUGUUUGUUUGGGGGUAUACAUGUUUGAUUUUUCUUUUGACUUAAUUAAAAAUAAGGAAAAGAAAAAUGAAUUAGUUACCCCUGAUGUCCUAAAACAGCACACAUAUUGUAUCCUUUAAAUGGUAGUUCACUUUGUUGUUGGUGUCAUUGCGCUUAAAAUGUCAGACCACGUAGAAAAAGACACAAAGUCUGGAAAUUUCUAAAGUGGUCAGUUCCCUCUUUAGAGUAACAAAGUUUGAUCUACAAGAAAGUAGGAGUUAUCUGUCAUAUUUCAACAUUUUUAAUGUUUUCCUGCUAAUAGAAUUUUGACAAGAUACUAAAAAAAAAUAAACCUCAGAACUAAAUGUUAAAUAUUUACCUCUGUGAUAUGCAAUAAUUCAUGUACAUGAACCUGCAAAUUAUUUACUUUUGCUUGACACUUUGUCCAUACUAAGAUAUUUCAGUAUAAAUCUGAUUUCAAGUAAAACUGAGAAGAUGCACUUCAUAUGGUAUUUUAGUUACAAGGAUAAAUAACUCUGGAUUGAUUAUUUUCUUAGUAUAGACAAACCUCUAUUAUAUUAGUUAAUCACAGGCUACCAAAGUAAAAAUUGAUUUUUUAUGUAAACGUUUCAAGCUUUGCUAUUUACAUCUGGAAUAAAAAUAUGCUAAAUGGAUGAAAUCAUUGAAAUAUUUCAUAAAUAUAGGAAGACACAAUUGCAUACUGAAUACUCUUGGAAAGGUGUUUGAUACUAAAGACCAGCUGAGACAUCUGGUAGUGAGGAAAAGACAAUGCCAAGUUUGAGUUACCAUAGCAAAAUCAUAUUACAUAACAGCGUAUUAUUUCUAUAUUUUGAAAUAGAGAGAUGGAGAAAAGUAAAAUUAAAAGAGAGGAUUUAGACAAUAAAAUUUUUAUGAAUAUUUCUAAUGAAGAAUAUAGCUAUUGAUAAGGAUGUGAUGACUCAGAGGAAUCCACUAGUAUGAAGGUUCACAAGCUACCACCUUCCAAUGUCUUAACUUCUCAAUCAUGAAUUUACUUCUUUAAAUGUCUCUUUAGCUUGAUACUCAUUAUUCCUUAUAUCUUAAGACAGUGAGACUGAUAAGCUUUGUGUCUGAGAUCACAAGCUUUCAUCCUUCUGCAGAAAGUUAAUGCACUCCUCAGUUAAUUUGUUAACAGAUAACCAUCCUUUCCUUGAGGGAACAGCCUCCAAGGAAGAAGCUGAGCGCAGCCUUGCAAAGCCAAGCACAGAUAUAGGUAGAUGUUACAUUAUUUAACAUAUAUUACUUCCUUUAUUGUUAUCAUAGCAAUCACAUUGGUUCUAUAUCAUUAUAUCAAUUUUAUAGGUGAGAAAAGAAGUGUGUACAAUAGUAAUUAAUUUUCACAAAGCCAUUAAAAAUACAGAUGAUUAAAUACAAGUGUAUAAUUCCAAAACUCUUUGACAUUCAUAAUAUCAAAACUCAUAUGGUAUAGAGUCUGACACUAAGGUCUUCACUGCAGUUGAACUGAAUGGACAUCCCACAAUGAUUAUGGGAAGCUAGACCUGAUCACAGAUCUGGGAGUAGGCAUCACUGUUGCGAUCAAUAUCUGGGUAUCUUAUUGAGUGUGAGGCUGACCUACUAAAUAUUUAACAAUUAAGGGGUCAAGGUAAGACAUGUAAUACAUAUGGAAACAAUAGGAAAGUUGUCUCAGCUUAAUUCUUUUAGAGAGUCCAGAAAUAUCAACUUUAGAAUAUUGAGGAAAGACCAUGAAUACUACAAUGUGGCUGAGUGUCAACCAUGGUUCAUUUAGGCAGAUGAGUGCUCAGAUCCAUAUUCCACAUUUUCAACCAUUCAGCAUCAACUGAUUAUUAUUAAAUACUAUUAACUUUAGAGGCAUGCCUAGUAGUUUUGAUUAAAAACCCAGCAUUGGUUUCUUGAUUAAAACUAAAGAACUAUAGAACAUAAACCAUCUCUUAAAUGUCGGAAGAAAGCAACAAAUUUUAGUGGGUUUUUUUUAUACUAUAUAGCUUUUUUUGGUAAUUGUCAUGUCUGUUUUUUUCUUUAAUAUUGUAGAUUUAAUAACCACAGAUAUCCCUAACUUAUGUCUGAUAGAAUAUGUUAAGACCCAAAUGGUAAUAACUUUAAAUAGAAUAAUUCCUAAGAGUAACAAAUACCAACUUUAGUUUCUGCUGAUCAGCUACUGUAUUACUGGCACCAAAUAUAUAUAUAUAAAACAGAAUAUUAUGAACAUGCCAAAAAGUUAAACUACCUUUCUCUUAUUUCAGGUAAUACUAUAGAGCUCACAUUUGGACACUGAAAUAAUGACAAAAACCAAAGAUAAACUCAGCAAAAGUGUGCAUAAAUAUGUGAAGUUCAUAUUUAAUUAGAAAUAAAAUAUGAUAAGUGGUCUAUAAAUUAUGACAAAUGAUAUAUAAAAAUGUAUCUUUAAAAUUACUUAUAUCCCUGCAUGCAGGAUUUAAUUUUAAAGAACUCAGGAUAUAACCAUUAAAUAUUAGAGAGUAAAAAUGCUAAAGAUGAAUUAUUAAUAGUAUUUAUAAAUGACAACUAUAAGAAAAUCAACACUAAAUUAUUUCUGACUAUUGAAGAGUUAGUCUCAGGAAGGUAGAAAAAGAGGGAGGGAACCAGCCAGCCCUAGGUGGUGACCCCAAUCACUGAAGCAAAAUUGGCCUCCUGGAUGGUUACUGAAAAAACCAAGGUAACACAAUGGUGUAAUUGCAAAAUUUUCCAAUAUCUGAAUUCCAUAAACUCUCUCAAGUGUUUUAUUGUUUUCUUUCUGUGAAAGAUGGACUGUGGCUUCUAAUGAUUUAUGGCUAAAGGCACAAAGUGGAUAUCUUUGCAAAAUGAGGGAAGAAAUAACUGGAUCUAAAAUGUAGCAUUUCUUAAUAUAUUUGUCAAUUUAAUAGCAUUUGGAAGGAUGGAUCGAGUUGUGUUGGAAAUUAAUCUUUGAACUCAUUUUUGCACCAGAGAUAAGUACUGAGGCUCUGAAGUAAGGCAAAGGUGGGUUCAAAUUCAUUUCCACAUGUCUAAAGUUACGCGACUUUUGGGGGAAGGGUAUUUAAACAUCCUAAACUUCAUGUUU